Molecule: ribosomal RNA, 425 nt
Filed under: uncultured bacterium
Lineage: Bacteria
Description: partial 16S ribosomal RNA
Rfam family: Bacterial small subunit ribosomal RNA
Source: RNAcentral
GUUAGGAAUAUUGGACAAUGGGCGCAAGCCUGAUCCAGCCAUGCCGCGUGAGUGAUGAAGGCCUUCGGGUUGUAAAGCUCUUUAGCCGAUGAUUAUAAUGACUGUAGUCGGAAAAUAAGCCCCGGCUAACUUCGUGCCAGCAGCCGCGGUAAUACGAAGGGGGCGAGCGUUAUUCGGAAUCACUGGGCGUAAAGCGUGCGUAGGCGGCUUUGCAAGUUGGGAGUGAAAGCCAAGGGCUCAACCCUGGAAUUGCUCUCAAAACUGCAAGGCUCGAAUUCGGGAGAGGAUAGCGGAAUUGUCAGUGUAGCAGUGAAAUGCGUAGAUAUUGACAGGAACACCAGUGGCGUAAGCGGCUAUCUGGACCGAUAUUGACGCUGAGGCACGAAAGCGUGGGGAUCAAACAGGAUUAGAAACCCCUGUAGUCC